AUGAAGCAGAAUCUUGCACAUCACAGGACAAAAAGCAGGAGCAAAAAACAAAGGAGUUCUUGUUUGUUUGUUUUGAGACAGAGUUCAGCUCUGUCACCAGGCUGCAGUGCAGUGGCUCAGUGUCGGCUCACUGCAAACUCCACCUCCCAGGAUCAAGUGAUUCUCCUGCCUCAACUUCUGGGUAGCUGGGAGCACAGGUGUGUGCCACUACAUUCAGGUAAUUUUUGGAAUUUUAGCAGAGACAGGGUUUCACCAUGUCAGCCAAGAUGGUCUUGAUUUCUUGACCUUGAUUUCUUGCCUUGGCCCCCAAAAGUGCUGGGAUUACAGGCAUUA
RNAcentral lists this long non-coding RNA (333 nucleotides) under Callithrix jacchus (white-tufted-ear marmoset). RNAcentral describes it as "lncRNA (ENSCJAG00000072363.1)". The record is from RNAcentral. Lineage: Eukaryota; Metazoa; Chordata; Mammalia; Primates; Cebidae.